CCUACGGGAGGCAGCAGUGAGGAAUAUUGGUCAAUGGGCGCUAGCCUGAACCAGCCAAGCAGCGUGAAGGAUGACUGCCUUAUGGGUUGUAACUUUCUUUUUUAUGGGCAUAAAGUGCAGUAUGUAUACUGCUUUGCAUGUACCUUAUGAAUCAGGAUCGGCGAACUCCGUGCCAGCAGCCGCGGUAAGACGGAGGAUCCGAGCUUUAGACGGAUGUAUUGGGUUUAAAGGGAGCGUAGGUGGGUUGUUAAGUCAGUUGUGAAAGUUUGCGGCUCAACCGUAAAAGUGCAUUUGAUACUGGCAUCCGUGAGUACAGUAGAGGUAGGCGGAAUGCGUGGUGUAGCGGUGAAAUGCUUAGAUAUCACGAAGAACACCGAUUGCGAAGGCAGCCUGCUGGACUGUAACUGACGCUGAUGCGCGAAAGUGUGGGUAUCAAACAGGAUUAGAUACCCCUGUAGUC
This 460-nucleotide ribosomal RNA is filed under the name uncultured bacterium. RNAcentral describes it as "partial 16S ribosomal RNA". It matches the Rfam family "Bacterial small subunit ribosomal RNA", at positions 338 to 795 of the family's 1533-position model. The record is from RNAcentral.